Molecule: ribosomal RNA, 253 nt
Filed under: uncultured bacterium
Lineage: Bacteria
Description: partial 16S ribosomal RNA
Rfam family: Bacterial small subunit ribosomal RNA
Source: RNAcentral
GACAGAGGUGCCGAGCGUUAGGCGGAAUCACUGGGCUUAAAGCGUGUGUAGGCGGGCGGGCAAGUACCUUGUGAAAUCCCACGGCUCAACCGUGGAACUGCUGGGUAUACUGCCUGUCUUGAGCCAGCCAGGGGCAGUCGGAACAGACGGUGGAGCGGUGAAAUGCGUAGAGAUCGGAAAGAACACCAACGGCGAAAGCACUCUGCUGGGCCGACACUGACACUGAGAGACGAAAGCUAGGGGAGCGAAUGGG